CAAUAGCGUAUAUUAAAGUUGUUGCAGUUAAAAAGCUCGUAGUUGGAUUUCUGGUGGGGGUCGCUGGUCCGCUGCGAAAGCGGCGUGUACCGAUGCGUACCUACCGCCAUCCUCGGGGGGACUGCGUGUGGGAUUAGUUUCUCGUGCGUAUGGACGCCCGUCUUUUACUGUGAAAAAAUUAGAGUGUUCAAAGCAGGCUGAGGCCGUUGAAUACAUUAGCAUGGAAUAAUAAGAUAGGACCUUGGCGGUCUAUUUUGUUGGUUUGCACGCCAAGGUAAUGAUUAAUAGGGAUAGUUGGGGGUAUUCGUAUUCAAUUGUCAGAGGUGAAAUUCUUAGAUUUAUGGAAGACGAACUACUGCGAAAGCAUUUACCAAGGAUGUUUUCAUUA
RNAcentral lists this ribosomal RNA (388 nucleotides) under uncultured eukaryote. RNAcentral's name for it is "partial 18S ribosomal RNA". It matches the Rfam family "Eukaryotic small subunit ribosomal RNA", at positions 592 to 975 of the family's 1831-position model. The record is from RNAcentral.